UGGGGAAUUUUGGACAAUUGGGGGCAACCCGUGAUCCAGCAAUGCCGCGUGUGUGAAGAAGGCCUUCGGGUUGUAAAGCACUUUUGUCCGGAAAGAAAACGCCGUGGUUAAUACCCGUGGCGGAUGACGGUACCGGAAGAAUAAGCACCGGCUAACUACGUGCCAGCAGCCGCGGUAAUACGUAGGGUGCAAGCGUUAAUCGGAAUUACUGGGCGUAAAGCGUGCGCAGGCGGUCCGCUAAGACAGAUGUGAAAUCCCCGGGCUUAACCUGGGAACUGCAUUUGUGACUGGCGGGCUAGAGUAUGGCAGAGGGGGGUAGAAUUCCACGUGUAGCAGUGAAAUGCGUAGAGAUGUGGAGGAAUACCGAUGGCGAAGGCAGCCCCCUGGGCCAAUACUGACGCUCAUGCACGAAAGCGUGGGGGAGCAAACAGGAUUAGAUACCCUGGUAGUCCACGCCCUAAACGAUGUCAACUAGUUGUCGGGUUCUUCAUUUGACUUUGGUAACGUAGCUGAACCGUGAAGUUGACCGCCUGGGGAGUAACGGUCGGCAAGAUUAAAAACUCAAAAUGAAUUGACGGGGG
RNAcentral lists this ribosomal RNA (581 nucleotides) under uncultured bacterium. Its description in RNAcentral is "partial 16S ribosomal RNA". It matches the Rfam family "Bacterial small subunit ribosomal RNA", at positions 355 to 919 of the family's 1533-position model. The record is from RNAcentral.